GCCGGUAUGAGUAGCGAAAGACAGGUGAGAAUCCUGUCCACCGAAUGACUAAGGUUUCCUGGGGAAGGCUCGUCCGCCCAGGGUUAGUCGGGACCUAAGCCGAGGCCGAAAGGCGUAGGCGAUGGAUAACAGGUUGAUAUUCCUGUACCCGUUGUUUUUGUUUGAGCAAUGGAGGGACGCAGGAGGCUAAGGAAUCAGACGAUUGGAAAUGUCUGUCCAAGCAAUAAGUCUUGAGGUGAGUCAAAUGCUUAAUCUUUUAAGGACAAGUUGUGAUGGGGAGGGAAAUAAUAGUACCGAAGUUCCUGAUGUCACACUGCCAAGAAAAGCUUCUAGUGAGAAAACAACGGCCCGUACCGCAAACCGACACAGGUAGUCGAGGAGAGAAUCCUAAGGUGAGCGAGAGAACUCUCGUUAAGGAACUCGGCAAAAUGACCCCGUAACUUCGGGAGAAGGGGUGCUGAUCGUCAGAUCAGCCGCAGUGAAUAGGCCCAAGCGACUGUUUAUCAAAAACACAGGUCUCUGCAAAAUCGUAAGAUGAAGUAUAGGGGCUGACGCCUGCCCGGUGCUGGAAGGUUAAGAGGAGUGCUUAGCGUAAGCGAAGGUACGAAUUGAAGCCCCAGUAAACGGCGGCCGUAACUAUAACGGUCCUAAGGUAGCGAAAUUCCUUGUCGGGUAAGUUCCGACCCGCACGAAAGGCGUAACGAUUUGGGCACUGUCUCAACGAGAGACUCGGUGAAAUUUUAGUACCUGUGAAGAUGCAGGUUACCCGCGACAGGACGGAAAGACCCCAUGGAGCUUUACUGCAGUUUGAUAUUGAGUGUUUGUACCACAUGUACAGGAUAGGUAGGAGCCGUAGAAGUCGGGACGCUAGUUUCGACAGAGGCGCUGGUGGGAUACUACCCCUGUGUUAUGACCACUCUAACCCGCACCACUAAUCGUGGUGGGAGACAGUGUCAGAUGGGCAGUUUGACUGGGGCGGUCGCCUCCUAAAGAGUAACGGAGGCGCCCAAAGGUUCCCUCAGAAUGGUUGGAAAUCAUUCGCAGAGUGUAAAGGCACAAGGGAGCUUGACUGCGAGACCUACAAGUCGAGCAGGGACGAAAGUCGGGCUUAGUGAUCCGGUGGUUCCGCAUGGAAGGGCCAUCGCUCAACGGAUAAAAGCUACCCUGGGGAUAACAGGCUUAUCUCCCCCAAGAGUCCACAUCGACGGGGAGGUUUGGCACCUCGAUGUCGGCUCGUCGCAUCCUGGGGCUGUAGUCGGUCCCAAGGGUUGGGCUGUUCGCCCAUUAAAG
RNAcentral lists this ribosomal RNA (1290 nucleotides) under microbial mat metagenome. RNAcentral describes it as "bacterial LSU rRNA". It matches the Rfam family "Bacterial large subunit ribosomal RNA", at positions 1296 to 2593 of the family's 2925-position model. The record is from RNAcentral.